CAAGAGGAAAAUAACAUUUUUUGACCACCCAAAAGAAAUCCCUCUCUUGAAACAUAUUGCCGCCUAGUUGAGAAAGAUGUACAUAAUCUCCUGGCUAAGAAAAAAUAAUACAAGGUAUUCCACAAUAUGUCCAAAGCAGAGAAAUAAUCUCUUAUGUGACUGAAAAAUGACUCCAGUAUCCUUAUAAAACCUGCCGACAAAGGAGGUGCAAUAGUGAUCCUAAAUGUAGCAGACUAUGCAAAGGACAUUCUGAGACAAAUUCUGAGACAACUUAGUGAUGCUGACUCCCAAAGUACCCUACUAAUCAAUUAAAGUCUCUGAUCCAUGAUAUAUUGUCAACCUUUUUGAAUGAAGGGGAAAUUACAAAGACAGAAUAUGACUAGAUUGAAGUUGACUGUCCAACCGCACCUGUCAUAGACGCUCUACCCAAAAUUCACAAGAUCAUGACACCACCUAUACCAGGCAGGCCCAUUGUGAGCAGUAAUGGAUCUCUGACAGAGAAUAUCUCUCCCUUUUGUAGACCAUUUUGUGAAACCCUGGGCGAUCUCCCUCCCCACGUAUACUAGAGACUCUAUUGAUUUUAUAAAUUUUUUGAAAUCUGUGGACUAUAUACCUGAAAAUUCUAUUUUGUGUAUUUUUGAUGUUACCAGGUCUAUAUACACCCCCAUCAGGGCGGCCUAGAGGCCCUCAUGUUCUACCUCAAUGAAAGUCCCCCUAAUGCUCUACCCAGCACCAAUUGUAUUGUGGACAUGGCUGAACUGGUACUAACCUCAAACUAUUUUCUCUUCAGAGGAGACUUCUUCCUCCAGACCAAAAGGACAGUGAUGGGGAGCACUAUGGCUCCUAAUUAUACUAACCUAUAUCUAGGAAUGUUUGAAAAACAGGUGGUGCUGAAUCCAGACCUUAACCCUUUUCUCUCCAAUAUUCUCCAAAUUCUGAGAAAUUUGAAUGACAUUUUCAUAAUCUAUACUGGGACCCAGGAAGAACUUUUGGAGUUCCAUGCUUAGCUAAACUCUAUGAAUGAACACCUUCACUUCAGCAUUAACUAUGACCUAUCACAAAUCAAUUUUCUUCAUGUGAUGGUUAAUUAAGGGCAAAACACCCCUCUCUACAGUUCUCUAUGGGAAACCUACGGACAAGAAUACCCUCCUUAGAGGUGUCAGCUUUCAUCCACGUCAACAUAAAGAAAUGUAGCCUAAUUAUUAAUUCAUAUAUUUAGUUAACAUUAGACAGUUAAUCCAGAGAUUCUUACCUACGCAUCGAUUCGGCAGUCUCGCACCAGAUCAUCAUGGCAUUUGUAGUUCUUUAUGAUAGCCACAUUAGCAGCUAAUUAGCAUUUCAUUUUUGGGGGGUAAAUACAUGCGAAUAUAUUGAUAAAAGUCAGCUUGUCCUAGAGAGAUUUACACAGUUAUCAAAACGUCACGUUAGGGUAACCCUACAUGAAACACAGCCCUUAUUUUAAGUGUUUCUAAAAUCUAUGGGGAAAAUGAAUGGUGGAAAAACUACUAUUGGAACCAUUUCCCUGUUUGACCUCUGAGUUUUAUGGGUAUUAUGACUCACACUGUGGUACUCUAUAGUCCACUCAGUAACAGUAAAAGGGCUCUCCAAACCUUUUCCUGGAGAGAUACCCUUCUGUAGGUCUUCGCUACAACCCCAGUUGUAACGAUUCAGUUUAUCAACCAGCUAAUUAUUAGAAUCAUGUGUACUAGAUUAGGGUGGCUGCAGUUCUGCAGCUGUGAGCUGGAACCUGGGGCUGACUAUAUUCAACCUGUUUGAAAAUGAUCAGGACACCGCAAGUGCCCGUGAGAGCCAAUAACCUCAAAUCGGUAUGUGAUUACACUUUACGAGCUGCGGCGUUACAUUUUACUCCGGGUUUGCUCUGAUUUCCUCCGACUUGGAAAAAUACGCCAAGAGCUGAUCGGGAGCCAUAGAUCGGAAGUGCCGGGAAGUCGGGAAAGAACAAGUUCAGACUAGGAUACAUUUGAAAGGUCAUCGAACUCGGAAUUCAAAAUCUUUCUCUUUGAUAACAACAUUUAUCCACAAAGAAUUGUUGCGCCACCCUGUUCAAGUGAGCACAUCACAACAAGGUGAGUCCAAAAAGGUCUUAUAUGCUGCUGCAUAAAUUAUGUAAUAUGCCAGGGAGAUAUGUAUACAGUAGCUAAGAAACGAAUACUAAGUGUAUGUUGUGUAGGAAGCUGUUAGUAGCCCAUGUGCCUCAUCCUAAUAAUUUGGCCUAUUUUCACCUCUUAAUUUUGCUUAACGUUACUGUUUCUGACUCGGUGGUGCACAUGUAGCCUAUAACCUGUUUUUUGAGCAAUGUCAUCAUCUAAUAUUGUAAGAGCUUUCAUUGACAGCUUAUAUGCCCCCUUUAUUUAUCCUAUGAUUCUGACUUGGUGUACAGGGAAUGUUCUGCAUUCUGUCACUGUACAUUUCAAAAGUGCUGAACACAUAGUUAUAUUGACUAUGUCUUAGUUCGCUCAUUAAUGUCUUAAUUGAAAUUACGGAAUGCCUCUUAUCCACUCAUCGUUCCCUUAUGCCAUCUCAAUUGUCAGUAGAAACCAUAUUUGUUUAAACAAGUCAGCCAUAUCAGCUACGUUUUUUAAAAAGGCAGUAAAUGAGGCUAAAUGAACUGUUUCACUGCCAGACAAGGCUCUGCUGACAGCCAGGUGUAGCGGUGGUAAGGAUUCACUCCAUUGUGCUGGAAAGAAAGCUCUGCUGUUGGGACAGCUUUAUGUAGGCCCUAAGAGUUUUGUGGGCACCACUUGUCACCAUUAUAGUGCAAUUAAUGUAUUGUUUAGUGUUGUGUUGUGUAGUGGUCUUUGCUGCCAUAUACACCUAAAAAAAUGUCUUUGAGUUUACCCCACCAAGAUUUACAUGCUAAAAUCGCCACUGUGUACAGUCAUUGUUUAAAGUCUCAGUAAGCUAAUUUGUGAUACAGUGAAGGUUAAUACACAUAUAGGUGAAUUUGUCCCAAUACUUUUGGUCCUCUAAAAUGGGGGGACUAUGUACAUAAAGUUCUGUAAUUUCUAAACAGUUCACCCGAUAUGGAUGAAAAUACCCUCAAAUGAAAGCUGACAGUCUGCUCUUCAAUUAUAUCAUUGUAUCAUUUCAAAUCCAAAGUGCUGGAGUACAGAGCCAAAACAACAACAAAAAGUGCCACUGUUCCAAUGCUUUUGGAGCGCACUGUAUGUUAGCUCUAAUGAUACAUUAGAUCAUGUAUUGAAUAUUUAACCACCCUGUAGUGACAUUCAUGAAUGGCUUGAUACAGUUUUAUGAAUGGCUUGAUACAGUUUUAUGAAUGGCUUGAUACAGUUUUAUGAAUGACUUGAUACGGAUUUCUCCAUACCCACUUUGAAGUAAUGGUUUACACAAAAAUGCAUGAAAUAAAUGUUCUUUACACUGAAUUGUUUUGACAUUUACAAAAACAGUCCCAAUCUGAUGGUGGACACCACAUUUGCAGUGCCAGCCUUUCAUGAUUAUGCUUACAAUGGUGACUGGCAGAUAAUUACAACUUGGGUUUUUUUCUUGAUAAUUUAUUCUGUUAAACACUGCUUCUUUGUAUAGUUGCAGACCGUUGCCCUGACGGUAUUCAUUAACAGCUAGUUGUAAUCUGUCCUAGUUCCUUAAUUAAACAUCACCCAUUGUAAUGCUCAUUAUGGUUUCUGAUUUUACUUUACAUUUCAGGUCACAGAUGGUACCAGAUAUGUGACUGGUAGCAGGCUUGCUGACAGAGAACAAAUUAAGUUUGUGGUCUUACCUGCAAAAGUUUGGGAAGAUCACAAAAGAGAUGACACCAGCUCAUCGUGUUGACACCCUCAUUGAUUCCCUCCUCUAUUACUUAGCCAGGGUCAGGGCAAGGUAGGAAUUUAAAACUAGGAAUCAGUUAAGUAUUGAGAGGGCCCAUUUUUCAGGAUUGUGUUGAUAUCCCAUCAUUUUGCACAGAGUAUAACGGCAAUGUAUUUUAAAGUAUCUAUGACGUGUAUGUUCCCCUUCCUGUUUUAGCACUGGAAACACAACUCUGGCGGCAGAAAGUCCUGGAGGAGGAAACCGAGGCAAAGGAGGAGUUGAUGGUGCUGCUAUAGGCAGCAUUCCAGUAGUGGUCGUCAGUGAGGUGCACAGCUGCAGGUUUCUGUCCGUCAUGACUGGGAAAGGCCUAGAUUCUAGGCCGUAGAAGAUCCUACAGCGAUCUCGUUAGAUCAGAACUGGAUUGAUCAACAGUGAUUCGUAAUACUGGUUUGCAUCCUAAAAAAAAAAGGAUAGUUGUGUUUUGCUGCAUAACACAUUCUUUUUUCUACCCAUAUGAUGUGGAUCAUUGUCAGGUUAUUGGAUGUGUCCGUUUCAGUAACAACAGAACACCAUGGUUGUAAUAACUCUUUUAACAGGUAGUUUGUAAAUGUGUAGAAUGUGUUUGUUUUGGGUCAUCACUGGUAAAUGAAUUUGAUGUAAAUUAGACAGUCAGAGGAUUUUCUGAGUAACUGGUCAGGGCAUAGCACUUUCCAUUUAGCUUCAGGCAACUUUGAUGUAAGGUUUGAUCACACCUGUAGUGACUACUUUACCAGUCUGGCCCAUUGAUUGUGAACAAUGGAUAAGCAACAAUGUAAUUACACCCAACACAAUGUUGACAAAAAUGUUUUUAUUCAAAAACUAUUAAUUGUGAUAUGUUUGUUUGUUUAUGUAUGACUGAAAAAAAAAAUAAGAUACACAAUAAUAAAGUGA
This is a long non-coding RNA of Oncorhynchus tshawytscha (Chinook salmon), 4716 nucleotides long. NCBI's taxonomy places the organism in Eukaryota, Metazoa, Chordata, Actinopteri, Salmoniformes, Salmonidae. The record is from Ensembl.